This 302-nucleotide ribosomal RNA is filed under the name uncultured bacterium. RNAcentral's name for it is "partial 16S ribosomal RNA". It matches the Rfam family "Bacterial small subunit ribosomal RNA", at positions 508 to 807 of the family's 1533-position model. The record is from RNAcentral.
GCAGUAGCCGCGGUAAUACGUAGGGUGCGAGCGUUAAUCGGAAUUACUGGGCGUAAAGCGUGCGCAGGCGGUUUUGUAAGACAGGCGUGAAAUCCCCGGGCUCAACCUGGGAAUGGCGCUUGUGACUGCAAAGCUAGAGUGCGGCAGAGGGGGAUGGAAUUCCGCGUGUAGCAGUGAAAUGCGUAGAUAUGCGGAGGAACACCGAUGGCGAAGGCAAUCCCCUGGGCCUGCACUGACGCUCAUGCACGAAAGCGUGGGGAGCAAACAGGAUUAGAUACCCGUGUAGUCCCUGUCUCUUAUAC